This 152-nucleotide ribosomal RNA is filed under the name Microsporidium sp. HEM-2006DRb. RNAcentral's name for it is "partial 16S ribosomal RNA". It matches the Rfam family "Eukaryotic small subunit ribosomal RNA", at positions 1054 to 1207 of the family's 1831-position model. Lineage: Eukaryota; Fungi; Microsporidia. The record is from RNAcentral.
GUGCUUCCCGCACUAGCGCUGCAGGGUAUGUUGUGCGGGAAAUCUUGAUGUGUGGGUUCUGGGGAUAGUAUGCUCGCAAGGGUGAAACUUGAAGAGAUUGACGGAAGGACACCACAAGGAGUGGAGUGUGCGGCUUAAUUUGACUCAACGCG